RNAcentral lists this ribosomal RNA (272 nucleotides) under uncultured Eubacteriales bacterium. Its description in RNAcentral is "uncultured Clostridiales bacterium partial 16S ribosomal RNA". It matches the Rfam family "Bacterial small subunit ribosomal RNA", at positions 73 to 339 of the family's 1533-position model. Lineage: Bacteria; Bacillati; Bacillota; Clostridia; Eubacteriales. The record is from RNAcentral.
UUCGGAUGGAAUCGAUAAGUUCUAGCGGCGGACGGGUGAGUAACGCGUGAGCAACCUGCCCUCCACAGGGGGAUAACGCACCGUAAAGGUGCACUAAUACCGCAUAAGACCACGUUUCUGACAUGGGAAUGAGGUCAAAGGAGCAAUCCGGUGGAAGAUGGGCUCGCGUCUGAUUAGCUAGUUGGUGAGGUAACGGCCCACCAAGGCGACGAUCAGUAGCCGACCUGAGAGGGUGAUCGGCCACAUUGGAACUGAGAGACGGUCCAAACUCC